GCUGGUGUAGCUCAAUGGUAGAGCUAUGGAUUUGUAAUCCGUAGGUUGGGGGUUCAAGUCCCUUCAUCAGCU
RNAcentral lists this transfer RNA (72 nucleotides) under Climaconeis cf. scalaris. RNAcentral describes it as "tRNA-Thr". It matches the Rfam family "tRNA". Rfam says of the family: Transfer RNA (tRNA) molecules are approximately 80 nucleotides in length. Lineage: Eukaryota; Bacillariophyta; Bacillariophyceae; Naviculales; Amphipleuraceae. The record is from RNAcentral.